Molecule: long non-coding RNA, 756 nt
Organism: Xenopus laevis (African clawed frog)
Lineage: Eukaryota; Metazoa; Chordata; Amphibia; Anura; Pipidae
Exons: 2
Source: RefSeq, a predicted model, not a curated record
ACAGUUGCAGUUAACAUUUGCAGUCAGGAUUGUGUCAUUUCCACUGUUUUGUCUCCUUCUUUUGGCAAAAGUUUGCUGCACUUAUUAACGAGCCCUGCUGUGGAAACCUAGGAACUAGUGCGAUUUACAGAGUGUCUAACACAAUUCAGCAUAAGAGACAGGUUGAACACUGUGGAUAUUUGUGCAACUAUAUGGAAUUGCACGCAAGUAACUUUUACAUCCAUUUUAGAGCAAUCCCACUGUACUGUGUUCAUUAAUGACCCCUAUAGUCCCAUUCAUGGGGAUUAUAGUCAUUUUGUUGUAGUGUCACAUUUUCUAAAAUGUCUCCUCCUUCUGUUUAACAUCACCAGCACCUUAUGGAUUAACAGAAGCAGAAACCUUUGGAACAAUCUACACUGCUAACUUACGGUUAUUAAACUUUGAUUGUGUAAACAUUUCUCUGUGGUUCCCCACACCUUCAGAAGAGCAAACAAAGGAUUUAAAGCCAUCGUGCCAGUAAGGAGCAGAGCAUCAAGUACAUGGAGACCAAUUAGCCCUGUAUAGGACAAUCUUCCUGCGUGUGACAACCCUGUUAUCUACAUCUGGCCAAACAGGCAUUCGGCUAUUUACUCUCUGUCUCUCUGUGGGAAGCAAGUCCAAUCAAACGGCACCAUGCAAGCAGCAGACAUUCUCCUUACAACAAAAAAUCAUAUAAUAAAAUCUUUUUCUGUGAAUUGUGGGGAAAAAAAAUAAAUUGAAAAUGAGGAGUGUAUCCCA